This is a non-coding RNA of Salvia hispanica, 528 nucleotides long. The record is from RefSeq and is a predicted model, not a curated record. Lineage: Eukaryota; Viridiplantae; Streptophyta; Magnoliopsida; Lamiales; Lamiaceae.
UCUUCACUCCCCGUCGUUCUCACUACUUUUUCUCCCAAAUCUCUUUUUCUCUCAUUCUUCAAGAUUUCUUCUUGCCUCCAUUCUCGAUCUGUCCAAGCCAGCAAACCUCCUACCCAUCUCCUAUCUCUACCCAUCCCGCCUCCGCCGCCUCCGCCCUCCAGCCGUGAAGCCCGUGCUCCAGCCCGUCGCCUCCACCCUCUAGCCAUCCACGCCUUCUUCAAUCCUCCAAAAGAAGAUUUAACUAUGGACAAAGGAUUGUGCCAAAGUUCAUCCCUUUAUGAGGAAGAAUGUAAUUGAAACUUUGAAGUUAUUGAAGAUUGAAGACUUAUAGUGAAAUCUCAUUAGUUGUUGAAAAUUAGAAGCUUGGAAGCAUUGAAGACUUACUGUUUACAAUUUGUUGAGGAGUAAAACUUUAUUUUAGUUGACAUUGUUAUUGUAGCCUAAAUUCUUAUUUGUGUUGGUUCAUAGAUGUUUAUCAUGUUAUGUUUUUCUUUGAUUUCUUGUAAAAAAAAUUUCAGUUUUUCGGUU